This is an RNA transcript of Thamnophis elegans (Western terrestrial garter snake), 2533 nucleotides long. It is a transcript of the gene named deltex E3 ubiquitin ligase 3, with no coding region annotated. The record is from RefSeq and is a predicted model, not a curated record. Lineage: Eukaryota; Metazoa; Chordata; Lepidosauria; Squamata; Natricidae. The transcript is spliced from 6 exons.
GGCGAUGGCUGCUGCCGCUGCUACCGCCGCUGCUUGGCAGGGAGGGAGACCUUGAGCAGAGCGGCGGCACCGGCACGCGUUCCCGGACGCGCCAUAGGUCGCCUCGUCGGACCCCGUUUGCUCAAGCCUCGGCGCCCUCGUUGCCUCCCUCGCCUACCCCCGUCCCGUCUUCCACCACCACCCUUUAUUGUUUGUUUGCUCCCAACGCCGUCGUCUUCGCACGCAGCAGCUGCAGCUUCGAUGGACGGACCGUUCCUGCCACCCUUGGAUGUUCCGCUAUGUUUCUGAUUCGCAGCUCAGCUGAACUCCCACAUCCGGCCGGUCUUCGAUCCCAGCUUCUCUCAUGGGCUCCCCAGUAUCAUUUGUUUUAUCCAGGAUGGCCGCUUGUGGAGGCACCACUAAAAAUAGGCUCACGGUAAAUAAGCACGUCUGGGACUUCCUGACCAAGGAAAGUCCUGCCAAACUGGUCAAGUUGAAAGAGGAGAAUAAAGUUGGUGUCUUGAUCGAUGGUGAGACAUCCGAGAUCUAUGUGCUGCAGAUUACCAUGCCUGCCCAUGGACCAAGCAAUGGCCUCUACCUGGCUCGUAAGGCUCUCAAAGCACUGCUCAAGGAAACAGAGAAGGAAUUGAAGAAGGCUCAGCGUCAGAGUGAGCUGAUGGGCUGCAUGGCCUUGAUGGAGAAGAGCCGGGAACACGGAGCUGUAGAGCUCCACCGUCGAGGAGCUGCCUUGAUAUCCCGAGGGCAGCAGACCUCUGGGCCAAGAGUAGUAGGUGGCAGUGGAGGGAUGGCCAGCUGCUCAAGGGGAGGGGAGGAGGAACAGGACAGCCAGUGCCCCAUUUGUUUGGGGGAGAUCCAGAACAUUAAGACUUUGGAGAAAUGCAAGCACUCCUUCUGUGAGGACUGCAUCACCCGGGCCUUGCAGGUCAAGAAAGCCUGCCCAAUGUGUGGGCGUUUCUACGGGCAGCUGGUAGGGAACCAGCCGGAGAAUGGACGCAUGCUAGUCUCCAAGGAUUCAAGUCUUCUGCUUCCUGGUUACGAGAAAUACGGCACCAUCAUAAUCCAGUAUGUCUUUCCACCUGGCAUACAAGGAGUGGAACAUCCCAAUCCUGGCGUCCGCUACCCAGGCACUACCCGUGUGGCUUACUUACCUGACUGCCCUGAAGGCAACAAGGUUCUGGCGCUCUUCCGCAAGGCCUUUGAUCAACGGCUCACCUUCACUAUUGGGACCUCCAUGACCACAGGGCGAGCCAACGUCAUCACCUGGAACGACAUCCAUCACAAAACCAACUGCACUGGGGGACCCCAGCUGUUUGGGUACCCAGAUCCUACAUAUCUUGCUCGGGUGCAAGAGGAACUACGAGCCAAGGGUAUCACCAAUGACUGAUCUCUGUUGCCACGUGCCCAGGAAUGGCUUCUUGUUACUGCCGAACUCCGCUCUUGUGGAGGGAGCUCCGUCAUUCGUCGGAGCCAACUAUCUCUAUCACACGAUCUUAAUCCAGAGAACAAAGCUUGAGCUUUGGGGCUGAAAUUGACAUUUUUUAUGUAAUUGAUUGUUUGAGGAACUGGAGAACAAAGACAUGAGGCAUGAGAGUGAGUGAUGCAAAAGAAAGAUGAUGGAAUUUAGGACUCAUUCAAAAUAGUUGUAUCAAGAGGGCCGUCAUGCUGAAUGAUUUGCUUUGGGGGGGGGGGGGAAGAGAAAAACAAACAAAAAUGGCCUGUCCCUGCAUUGAGUAGCAAACAUAUAGGUACCUCUACUGAGCCUCUCUUUUCAAUGUGCUAGUUUACUUCAUGCAGAGGUGUUUUUUUUUCUUUUUUUACUGAAUGAUAAAUAUAUAUAUAUAUGCACCACCAAGACUUAAAAUCUGAAGCUGCAAACUCCAGAAUUCACCACCUCAAUACUUUGGCUCUUGAGGAUAAAAUAGAUAUGAUCGAGUGGAUCUGUUAUCAAGGCCAACUCCGUUGAACUUUCUUGAAACGUUGGGACAUACCAGCUAAAACAAACAAGAAGCUUCUUGAUUCCGGACAGAGAGGCCACAAUUCAAGUGUUCUCCUUGGAGAGGAGGAUCAGCCACCUCAUGGGACCACCCGUUGUGUAUUCAUAGGCUUCUCAGCUGGCAUAUCAACUCUCCUAUAAUUAUUCCAGCCUUUCCACUUGGGACAACUAGUCUUACUGGGAUCUUAGCCAGCCCUUCUCUUAAAUCUCUGGUGGGUCUGUAAUGCUCCUGACUCUGGGUGCCUACCUGUUGUUGAGUGUUUUGUGGGAGGGGGAGGGAGGGAAAUGUCUCUUGGCUAACUGUAAGCGUGUCUCCUCUGGCAGAGAUGACUUCUAAUACUCAGUUUGUCUCGUAUUGGUGAGAGCUUCCCACGAACGCACAGUUUGGACAACGGGGCUUUCUUUUGCUGUUUUAAAAAAGAGUAACUGAACAUGUGCCACUUGUUCUCAUCUUUGUGGAAUGCGUGUUUGUGGUUUACAUAUUUCCACCUAUUUAUUCAAAGGAGUUUACAGUUUGAAAUGAUGGAAUGUGAACCGAAG